RNAcentral lists this ribosomal RNA (426 nucleotides) under uncultured bacterium. RNAcentral describes it as "bacterial SSU rRNA". It matches the Rfam family "Bacterial small subunit ribosomal RNA", at positions 355 to 772 of the family's 1533-position model. The record is from RNAcentral.
UGGGGAAUAUUGGACAAUGGGCGCAAGCCUGAUCCAGCAACGCCGCGUGGAGGACGAAGGUCUUCGGAUCGUAAACUCCUGUCAGGCGGGACGAAGGCUUCCGGGCAAAUAGUCCGGAAGCUUGACGGUACUGCCAGAGGAAGCCCCGGCUAACUCCGUGCCAGCAGCCGCGGUAAUACGGAGGGGGCUAGCGUUAUUCGGAAUUAUUGGGCGUAAAGAGCUCGUAGGCGGUUCGGUAAGUCGGGUGUGAAACCUCCAGGCUCAACCUGGAGACGCCACCCGAUACUGCUGUGACUAGAGUCCAGUAGGGGAGCGUGGAAUUCCUGGUGUAGCGGUGAAAUGCGCAGAUAUCAGGAGGAACACCAGUGGCGAAGGCGGCGCUCUGGGCUGGAACUGACGCUGAGGAGCGAAAGCGUGGGGAGCGAA